RNAcentral lists this ribosomal RNA (484 nucleotides) under uncultured bacterium. RNAcentral's name for it is "partial 16S ribosomal RNA". It matches the Rfam family "Bacterial small subunit ribosomal RNA", at positions 30 to 507 of the family's 1533-position model. The record is from RNAcentral.
AUUGAACGCUGGCGGCAGGCCUAACACAUGCAAGUCGAGCGGAUGAAGGGAGCUUGCUCCUGGAUUCAGCGGCGGACGGGUGAGUAAUGCCUAGGAAUCUGCCUGGUAGUGGGGGAUAACGUCCGGAAACGGGCGCUAAUACCGCAUACGUCCUGAGGGAGAAAGGGGGGGAUCUUCGGACCUCACGCUAUCAGAUGAGCCUAGGUCGGAUUAGCUAGUUGGUGGAGUAAAGGCCUACCAAGGCGACGAUCCGUAACUGGUCUGAGAGGAUGAUCAGUCACACUGGAACUGAGACACGGUCCAGACUCCUACGGGAGGCAGCAGUGGGGAAUAUUGGACAAUGGGCGAAAGCCUGAUCCAGCCAUGCCGCGUGUGUGAAGAAGGUCUUCGGAUUGUAAAGCACUUUAAGUUGGGAGGAAGGGCAGUAAGUUAAUACCUUGCUGUUUUGACGUUACCAACAGAAUAAGCACCGGCUAACUUCGUG